This is a non-coding RNA of Vicugna pacos (alpaca), 127 nucleotides long. The record is from RefSeq and is a predicted model, not a curated record. NCBI's taxonomy places the organism in Eukaryota, Metazoa, Chordata, Mammalia, Artiodactyla, Camelidae.
UGUGAAGUGAGGUAGGUGAUCCAAUUGCCCCUGCAGCCUGUUCUGCAUAUCAGAUGGAAAGCUCAUGAACGGGGCCUGCAGAAUGAUAUCCAGACCCUUAACGCUGGUUGAUGAAAUGAGUGCUGUC